This 426-nucleotide RNase P RNA is filed under the name Dacryopinax primogenitus. RNAcentral describes it as "Nuclear RNase P". It matches the Rfam family "Nuclear RNase P". Rfam says of the family: Ribonuclease P (RNase P) is a ubiquitous endoribonuclease, found in archaea, bacteria and eukarya as well as chloroplasts and mitochondria. Its best characterised activity is the generation of mature 5'-ends of tRNAs by cleaving the 5'-leader elements of precursor-tRNAs. The record is from Rfam by way of RNAcentral. Lineage: Eukaryota; Fungi; Basidiomycota; Dacrymycetes; Dacrymycetales; Dacrymycetaceae.
UUAGUGCGAAAGCUGCGAGGCUCGACACACGACAGGACCGGGUGUCUCACUACUGGGACAUCUCGAUCCUCUGUUCUCGAGCGGGAAGGUCUGAGCAUAUUUGUCCUCCUUGAUCGACUCUAGCAGGGUCCAGCGGUAAACCGCUGAGCGACGCACCAGAAAAGCGGUCCCGAGCACCUCAUUACAUACCAGUAUGUAAACGCCCAACGAUCUCUGGUCGAACGGAAGGAGGGCAGGAGCUAAACGGAUCAUGGGAAACGUCGCGAGGACAGGGCGACGGUGUCUUGGUUCCUGGCAGCGCAUCGUACGGUCUCGCAAGGGGCCUGCGCGCGCUGUUGGGCCCGUCGUCCUUGGGUGCACUUCGCAGCUUGGGGUCACGCUCUACGCGAGCAUCUCAAAACUCGAUUCAGACUAUUCUUGCCCUGC